Long non-coding RNA from Adelges cooleyi (spruce gall adelgid), 403 nucleotides. RefSeq lists it as uncharacterized. NCBI's taxonomy places the organism in Eukaryota, Metazoa, Arthropoda, Insecta, Hemiptera, Adelgidae. The transcript has 2 exons. The record is from RefSeq and is a predicted model, not a curated record.
GUCUGCCAAAACGCAAUUUGAUUUGACUUAUGCCAGGCGUGCGUUCCCGUGUUUCGACGAACCCUCUAUAAAAGUUCCAUUCAAGAUAUCGGUAAUGAGGGAAUACUACCAAAAAGCAACGUCCAACAUGCCGCUGAGCAAGACCGAUUAUUAUGGAGAUUGUGUUGGACGGAGAUGCAACCCGGGCAAUAAAGUGUACGACCGUUUUGGAACGACUCCUCCAAUUUCCACCAACGUAGUAUCGUUUUACGUAGGCGAAUACCAAGAGGACGACAAGGCAACCAGAAAAAUACAAUAACAUUUUUAUUAUAGUAUAAAUUAUAAUAGUAGACAUAAUAAUAGGUAAUAUUUUCUAAAAAAGCUAAUGAUUAUUUACAACAAAAUAUACGAAAUUAAUCACUUA